Theobroma cacao (cacao) is the source of this 737-nucleotide non-coding RNA. The record is from RefSeq and is a predicted model, not a curated record. Lineage: Eukaryota; Viridiplantae; Streptophyta; Magnoliopsida; Malvales; Malvaceae.
AAUCUAACAGUCUUGUGGGGUGCUGCCAGAUCUGACGGUUUACAUGUUAAUAUCUUAACGGACUGCACUACAGGAGCUCAUUCUAGUGCUCGCUGGACGGAGUAGUAAGAUUGUAAGAUAAAAGCAACUUUCGAUCAAGCAACCAACAAUCAUGUGCUGUGAUGGAGAUUGCAGGCCACUGGGCUUCCUCCUGGGCCUUCCCUUUGCUUUUCUUUCUCUCAUCAUCUCCAUUGUUGGAAUUGUUGUUUGGAUAGUCGGGUUUGUCCUGUCCCCUUGGCUUGGCUUUUCAUAUGUUGACUUCCUUCUGCUGUUUGCUACUUUUGACAAUAUUUGGGAUCUAGGUUGUUGUUGACGUUGAUCUGUCCCUGUUGUUUGUGCGUGACGGUUCUAGCGGAGCUGGCGCUGGAGUUGGUCAAAGCUCCAAUUCAUGUCAUGAAAUGGUUCACCGAAAAGAUCCCUUGUUAAUUGGUCUCCAAUCCAAUCCACACCGACUGGAGUCCUCUGUUUUAUUUUACGGUGUUUUGUGCAUUAUUAUGUACCAUAUGUUGCUUGCCUUGCCCUACAUAUCUUCCGGAUCUAUUUCUAUUUAUUCAGCUAUUUGAUUAUGGCUAGGGUGAAAUUUGGGCAAAAUUUCAUUUCAGGUUUAUUCACUACUGGUCACAUAUACUUUUAUUUUAUAUAGACAUGGGAUUUUGAUUUCUGGCUGAUUUAUGAGGAUUUCCUCUCCUUCCACACAA